Long non-coding RNA from Salvelinus namaycush (lake trout), 1203 nucleotides. RefSeq lists it as uncharacterized. NCBI's taxonomy places the organism in Eukaryota, Metazoa, Chordata, Actinopteri, Salmoniformes, Salmonidae. The record is from RefSeq and is a predicted model, not a curated record. The transcript has 3 exons.
AAAUAAACCAUGUUCAUUGCAGUGUGCCUCUGUUAGGAGAGUGCUUCUCUCUCUGUCGGUCGCUCCGUUUUUUUGACGACUUAUAGAGAGCGUGUGUGCAGGGACAGGCUCUUUAUGUGCUCUCUGCUCUCUCUGUGCUUUCUCUCUUUUUUUCACUUUCUGUUUAUCGUGACUAUUUUGUCAGGAGCUGGUUGAGAGAUAGACCUGGCAGGAGAGCGGCAGAACUGGAUUUGUUUGAAAGAACAACCGUAGACAAGAAGUGCAUAGAGAAGAGUUUGUUUUGAACUUCCAGCAUGAGAAGAUAGACAUCUUUUGAAGAACAAAGAGAGAAAGAGGGACUGAAAGAUGUACGACCUGCAAACAACAAGGUGGCUGAGUCAACCUUUGUCUUAAUGAGGAAAUGGAGAUGGUCUAUCGUCAAUGGUUUUUAUGGUCCCUGCUGUAUUUUCACUGAAAGAGCCGGCCUACUCUGUCCACCAAGCCUGACUCCAUUUUGAUGCCAGACGAGGAGACGAGGACUGACCAGCCCUUUGGUUCCCACACCAUGUUGGCUCCAGCCCACACCAUUGGCUACCCACUACCACACCAGUACGUUGGCAUUUCUCUUUUCGUAUUUCUGUAUUUUUCUAUUCAUUUCUCUAUUAAUUUCUCUCUUGGUCUUGGUUUGUCGUGAUAAGUGCGAAACUGGACCUAUGAUUCUGUACCUCUCAUUCUCUCAUGUUCAACUGACCUUACCCUAUAGUACCUGUAUUGUUUUUAACGGUGAUUGUGAAUUCCUAUAUUUCUCGGAGAUAAGUACGGUAACAUAAAUAAAGCGAAUUAAAUCUCUCCCUCGUGUGCAUAUUCACCCUCAGCUUGUGAAAAAUAUUUGACAGUGAUUGUUCUGAAAGAUAGUGUAGUGAUGUACAUAAACGAAACAUGGCAUUUUCAAAUCAAAAAUAUCUUUCAGAGCCAUGUUUUGUUUUGAUUUACAGUUCGCUAUGACAAUUGAAUGACCUUUUCAAUUUGUAGUUGAAUGUCACACGGUCUAUCAUUUCUGUUACACACCUUAAUCAAGAGGUGUGCUGUGUUUCUGUGGUGAUUAGAGUGACAAGGUGGCUCAGCAGAACUCAUUGAGUUCAUUGAUUUACUGUUAAUUCAUGUGACCUUUCAUUUGACUGUUGUCUUAUUCAUUGUUUAAUUAUACCUUCUGCACUAUCCCCU